RNAcentral lists this ribosomal RNA (471 nucleotides) under Hepatozoon felis. Its description in RNAcentral is "SSU rRNA". It matches the Rfam family "Eukaryotic small subunit ribosomal RNA", at positions 486 to 954 of the family's 1831-position model. The record is from RNAcentral. Lineage: Eukaryota; Apicomplexa; Hepatozoidae.
CAAGGCAGUUAAAAUGCUUUGUAAUUGGAAUGAUAGAAAUUUAAAAACUUUUUAAAGUAUCAAUUGGAGGGCAAGUCUGGUGCCAGCAGCCGCGGUAAUUCCAGCUCCAAUAGCGUAUAUUAAAAUUGUUGCAGUUAAAAAGCUCGUAGUUGAAUUUCUGCUAAAAAUAACCGGUCUGCUUUUAAUAAAGGUGGUAUCUUGGUGUGUUUUUAGCAAUAAUGUCCUUUGAAAUGUUUUUUACUUCAUUGUAAUAAAUUAUAUUUAGGAUUUUUACUUUGAGAAAAUUAGAGUGUUUCUAGCAGGCUAAUGCUUUGAAUACUGCAGCAUGGAAUAAUAAAAUAGGAUUUUGGUUCUACAUUAUUGGUUUUAAGAGCUAAAUUAAUGAUUGAUAGGGACAGUUGGGGGCAUUUGUAUUUAACUGUCAGAGGUGAAAUUCUUAGAUUUGUUAAAGACAAACUACUGCGAAAGCAU